This 468-nucleotide ribosomal RNA is filed under the name uncultured bacterium. RNAcentral describes it as "partial 16S ribosomal RNA". It matches the Rfam family "Bacterial small subunit ribosomal RNA", at positions 28 to 507 of the family's 1533-position model. The record is from RNAcentral.
GACGAACGCUGGCGGCGUGCUUAACACAUGCAAGUCGAACGGAAAGGCUCCAGCUUGCUGGAGUACUCGAGUGGCGAACGGGUGAGUAACACGUGGGUGAUCUGCCCUGCACUUCGGGAUAAGCCUGGGAAACUGGGUCUAAUACCGGAUAGGACCGCACUUUGGUGUGUGUGGUGGAAAGGUUUUUCUGGUGUGGGAUGAGCUCGCGGCCUAUCAGUUUGUUGGUGGGGUAAUGGCCUACCAAGACGGCGACGGGUAGCCGGCCUGAGAGGGUGGACGGUCGCAUUGGGACUGAGAUACGGCCCAGACUCCUACGGGAGGCAGCAGUGGGGAAUAUUGCACAAUGGGGGAAACCCUGAUGCAGCGACGCCGCGUGGGGGAUGAAGGCCUUCGGGUUGUAAACUCCUUGCGCUAGGGACGAAGCUUUUUGUGACGGUACCUGGAGAAGAAGCACCGGCUAACUACGUG